CCUACGGGUGGCAGCAGUGAGGAAUAUUGGUCAAUGGCCGGAAGGCUGAACCAGCCAUGCCGCGUGAAGGACAGCGCCCUUUGGGUUGUAAACCUCUUUUAUAAAGGAAUAAAACGAGGCACGUGUGCCCUUUUGCAUGUACUUUUUGAAUAAGGGUCGGCUAACUCCGUGCCAGCAGCCGCCGUAAUACGGAGGAUCCGAGCGUUAUCCGGAGUUAUUGGGUUUAAAGGGAGCGUAGAUGGGUUGUUAAGUCAGUUGUGAAAGUUUGCGGCUCAACCGUAAAAUUGCAAUUGAUACUGGCAGUCUUGAGUACAGUUGAGGUAGGCGGAAUUCGUGGUGUAGCGGUGAAAUGCUUAGAUAUCACGAAGAACCCCGAUUGCGAAGGCAGCUUACUAAACUGUGACUGACAUUGAUGCUCGAAAGUGUGGGUAUCAAACAGGAUUAGAUACCCCGGUAGUC
RNAcentral lists this ribosomal RNA (459 nucleotides) under uncultured bacterium. RNAcentral's name for it is "partial 16S ribosomal RNA". It matches the Rfam family "Bacterial small subunit ribosomal RNA", at positions 338 to 795 of the family's 1533-position model. The record is from RNAcentral.